CGCGUAGGCGGUUGGAUAAGUCAGCUGUGAAAACCACGAGCUCAACUUGUGGCCUGCAGUUGAAACUGUCUGGCUAGAGUGUGGGAGAGGGAAGUGGAUUCCUGGUGUAGCGGUGAAAUGCGUAGAUAUCAGGAGGAACACCGGUGGCGAAGGCGGCUUCCUGGACCACAACUGACGCUGAGGCGCGAAAGCUAGGGGAGCAAACA
Molecule: ribosomal RNA, 206 nt
Filed under: uncultured bacterium
Lineage: Bacteria
Description: partial 16S ribosomal RNA
Rfam family: Bacterial small subunit ribosomal RNA
Source: RNAcentral